GGUGGCUCACGUCUGUAAUCCCAUCACUUUUGGAGGCCGAGGCAGGUGGAUCACCUGAGGCUAGGAGAUCAGGACCAGCCUGGCCAAUGUGGUGAAACCUGUCUCUAAUAAAAAUACAAGCUGAAAGGCUGUGCCCCAAGAAUCCCUUGAGCCUGGGAGGCAGAGGUUGCAGUGAACCGAGAUCAUGCCACUGCACUCCAGCCUGGGUGACAGAGUGAGACUUUGUUUCAAAAACAAAACAAAAACCAAUUUAAUGAUAAAAAAAGAAUCAGAGUGAAAAGAGCUGGCCAUGCUCCACAAAGAGACCUAACCAAUAUGAAAAGGAAGUUGUUGGGCUGCUUCUCCUCCCUGCCACAUCUACCCCACUUAAAUAAUAUGUGAAGAGGUCCCUGGGCUUUGAUGUAAGACUGGCAGGGUCAGUUCCUGGUUCUGAUAUGCACUUUGCCCAUCUGAGCAAGGGUUCAAGGAACCAGGAGAGAAGCAGGCAAGCCCCAAGGUCUGGCUUUGGCCCAGCCCAGGUUUGCAUUCUAUAUGGAAAAUGUGGCCACAUAAAAGAGAAAACAUCUGUUAAGCUCAAAUUCCAUUUUGAAAUCAACAAAUGUGCUUCACCCAACCACCUCAAAUCUGGGAGAGAUGGCCCACUCGAAAUAAAGGUUAACAACCUUCAAGUUUAGUUCCCAAGUUUUUCUAUCAUUUUCCCAAUUAUGCAUUGCCUCAUUAGCUUUUCAUCCCUAUUUAAACAAGUAAGUCUGGGCUUAAGUUAAAACACAUAGGCAAGAAUUAGCAAGGCUUUCUUUAAAAACAACAACAACAACGUAGGCCAUAUAUCUUCCAAGAAAUCUCUAUGAAGAGAUGUGUUUUUGUACUGUACCAGGAAGCAGCUGUGGUACAAGAAGAGUGGGAACUUGAACUCUUAAAAGCUGUUUUUAAUCUCAACUAAGCCACGUUGCCAGUUAACCUCUCUAAUUUUGUCAUCUCUUCUGUAAAAUGGAAAUUAAUGAUGCCUUCCCCACAGGGCUGUUUUGGGGAUAAAAUAAGACAGUCACCAGGAAACUGCUUGGCAAAUUGUAAAGUGCAGUAUAAAUAUAAGAGAUAUUAACUACAAAUGGCCGUAUGGGAGGUUUUAACAGUAAACUAGAGAAAAUUCUGAGGCAGUGCAAAUUCAGAAAGGAAAUUAUAAGAGUAGAUUUAACCAUCCUAAUAGUGAUGAUAAUGUAAUAUCAGAAUAUUGGUGAGUUACAACGUAUACCAUAUUUAAGUGUUUACAAGUGUUCAUGUUCCUUAAAUGUCAUGAACCAACCUCUGUUAGCUUCCAGCUUUUCCUCUGCAGCUUCUUCCCCUCUCUCAGCCUUCACGGAAUUGAAGAGAGUCAGGGCCUUGCUCUGGACUAGGCUUUGGCUGAAGGGAAUAAACUUACUUCGUAUCGGCAGUAAGGCUGGCUCACUUUCCUAUCAUUUGUGUGUUCAGUAGAGUAGAACUUUUCACUUUAUUCAAAAACUCUUUGUUUGCAUUCACAACUUGGCAACCUGCUUGGCACAAAAGGCCUUGCUUUAAGCCUGUCUCAGCUUCCAACAUGCCUUCCUCACUCAGCUUGGUCAUUUCUAGCUUUUAAUUUAAAGUGAGAGAUGUGUGUCUCUGCUUUUCACUUGAAUACUUAGAAGCCAUGGUGGGGUUAUUAAUUUGCCCAGUUUCCCCAAUUUCAGGAAAUAGGGAGGCCUGAGGAAAGGGCUUCCCUAUUCCCAGUUGUUUGGCACCCCCAAAACAAUGACAACAGUAACGUCAAAGAACCCUGACCACAGAUCAUUAUAGCAGAUGUAAUAAUCAUGGAAAAGUUUGAAAUAUUGCAAGAAUUACCAGAAUGUGACACAGAAACUUGAUGUGAGCAUGCGCUGUUGGAAAAAUGGCACCAAUAGACUCACUGGAUGCAGGCUUGCCCCAAACCUUCAAUUUGUAAGAAGUUUGAUAUCUCUGAAGCACAAUAAAGUGAAGCACAUUAAAGCAAAACAUGCCUAUAUGUGCACUUGACAAAAUUUCCAGUAACGUAAAUACUCUAAAAUUCUACUUUGCCUAUAUAUUAUAUAUGCACAUUUAUGUAGAUAUUUUGCAUUUAAAUAAACAUUAAUAUGAAGGAACAUAUACAUAAAAUGAUCUAUAAUAUAAUUUAUGGACAAUUUAAAAGAUUUUUAAGGGUAGAUUUUGGACUAUAAAUAAACUUACUACUUUUCACACUCAACCCCUGCAGAGAAGAUGGGAACUGGCAGUAUAGUCUAAUUAUUUAAGUAGGAGUGUUGGGUAUCAUUGUGUUAUUUCGGGGCAUAGUUCUCAAAUUUUCUUAAGUGAACUGUAAGUGAAUGGAAAUGUGUGUGUGUGUGUGUGUGUGUGUGUGUGUUUGCAUGCAUGCAUAUGCAUAUGGAAACAUCAAAAUUGAUUUGCCCAGGUACUCCACUUGAGCACAAAAUCACAGGCAUGAAUAUACAAGGAAAUUUGAAUGUGUGUUUGUCAGCAACCGAAUAUUUGGCAAAGAGGAAAAUUAAAAUAGAUUGCACUUAGAGCUCGAGGAAGGAAGAAUAAACACAAAUUUACAGGUGAGUGUUAGCAAACAGCAUAUAUAUUGAAUAGUAGUCUGAAAUAGACCCAUCUGAACUCGGUGGGAAAUUGACAUUCUGUUUGUGCUACUGCAUAUUAGACCUGGAAGCCUCAAGUUAUAUUUCUCAAUAGCAAUGCAGCAAAUUACUAUAUCUACAUGGCAGGCACUUGGCUCUUAAGAGCUGGCAAGAUUGAGGGUUAUUUGAGGCAUUUAAAAUAAAAAUUGCAGAUAAGAUCGAAUCAGUGUGGUCAAUCAGCAAGAGAGUCAACAGGUAUUUAUGACACAACCACUUAUCUAUGUAUAUUUUUUAACGCCUGUGCUUGAUGGGAUCAGAAUGGGGAAAAGACCCAAAACAUUAGAUCUAACAGGAGAUCUGUGGCUCUGGGUUAGAAGGCCAAAUGGUAAUAAACGAGGGCUUUGGGGUCACACACAUCUGCCGCCAGAACCUGGACACCUCUUACUGUCUAAGGAAUUGCCACAUUUUAGGUGAGGGCUAGGUUCUGAAUCAGCUCAUUAAAAGCAAAAGUCACAUACAGUCAGAAUUAUCUUUGAAAUUUUCUUUUUUUUUUUUUUUUUUUUUUUUUUGAGACGGAGUUUCACUCUUGUUACCCAGGCUGGUGUGCAAUGGCGCAAUCUCGGCUCACCACAACCUCCGCCUCCUGGGUUCAGGCAAUUCUCUUGCCUCAGCCUCCCAAGUAGCUGGGAUUACAGGUACGCACUACCGUGCCCAGCUAAUUUUUUUUUGUAUUUUUAGUAGAGACGGGGUUUCACCAUGUUGACCAGGAUGGUCCCAAUCUGCUGACCUCGUGAUCCACCCGCCUCGGCCUCCCAAAGUGCUGGGAUUACAGGCUUGAGCCACCGCGCCCGGCCGAAAUUUUCUUAUGCUUUCUAUCCUUAAGCCUUUUUAUUUUUUUUUCCAUUACUAAAUUAAGAAUGUUUGAACCCCUAUGCCAUUAGAAGAUAGAAAUUUAAUAUCAGCCAAGACAAACACAUACUACUCAGGAGGCUGAGACAAGAGGAUUUCAGGAGUUUAAGACCAGCAGUUCAAGGUUGCAGUGAGCUAUGACAGCACCAUGCACCCUGCCAGGGCAACAGAGCAAUACAGCAUCUCUAAAAAGUAAAUACUUUUAAAAACAAAUAAAAGACAGAGAAACACACACACACAAUUGUGUGCAGCCUUCUCUCAUCAUCUUUAUGCCCACUAAAGUCUGAGAAUUGCUGUGCUAAUAAAAGCCAACAAGAAAGUCUAUGUGUGGAUAUCUGGACUUUGGUAUCAUCCUGCCUUUAAGAUACGAUACUAUCAAAUCCCCAGUGUGAGAAGCAGAUGGUAAGACUUCUAAAGUGUUCCUGCUUGCCUUCAGGGUUUACUCUAUUCAGUUAUAAUAAUAAGCCUCUCUGACUUUAAUACAUGUUAAUAGACGUAUUUGAUGUUUUGAGGAUUAGAUGAAACAGUGGAUGGCAACUUCUUUGAGGGUUAAAUUCGAAAAUCGGUAUGUUAGUUGCAUGUACUUUGUGACACUUCUUCAUUUACGUGAUCUUUGUCAAUGUACUUAACCUAACUGUGCCUCAUUUGCCUUGUCUGCAGGAUGUGUAACACACAAUACCUACUUAACGGAGUUGGUGACACUUAUAAGUAUGAUAAUGCAGAAAGAGCUGUUGGCAGACUGGUAGCAAGAAAUUAAAACAUAGUAACUCUUUUAUUAGUAUUCCAAAUUAUUGUUGUCGUGGUUGAGACAAUUAUUAUUACUUGUAUGCUCUGAGACUUUGGACAUGUUACCAGAUCUUCCUGUGCUUUAGUCAUUCAUCUGUCAAAAGGGAGCAAGAUAUCUUUUCCUCCUACCUCAAAGAGCUGCAGAAGGAACAACAACAAAAAAAAGACAAGGGGUUGGAAAAGCAUGAAAGGUUGUACAAGUAGAAGGUGAAAACAGAAUAAUGAAACACGAUAUUCAAAUCCCAAGUCACCCCAGUUUCACGGAUGUUGCAAACCAAUGUAAUCUGCAGAUCAAGGCAUGUGUCUGAAUAGCAACACAGUUGGGACCCAGGGAGAUUGUAAAUGUCUGGAUUUGGCCUGCCCACACCCCUGGAGAAACAGCUUAAAGUGCAUGCCCUCUGGAAGGGGGCGUGGACAUCUUGCUGCGGAAUACACAGGAGCCUGCGUUCCUCCCAAAAACUGCUACCGUGAAAAGUGGACUUGUGCAGCUGACAUAAGUAUAUAGGUCUCUAGCCCAAAUGGCAAGAAACCUAAUGUCAUUUUUUUCACAACUGAGUUAAAUUCUUAUUAUAAGCAUUAUCGUUAUUAAUAUAAUUCGUAUUAUAAUACACCAUUGUUUGACAGAAAUGAAAUCUCUGUCAAGUAAGGGGGUCUAGGUUAAUUCAGCUUCCUGCGAUUGUGUGUAAGUUCCAGGGUGUUUACAGACA
RNAcentral lists this long non-coding RNA (5005 nucleotides) under Callithrix jacchus (white-tufted-ear marmoset). RNAcentral's name for it is "lncRNA (ENSCJAG00000079495.1)". The record is from RNAcentral. Lineage: Eukaryota; Metazoa; Chordata; Mammalia; Primates; Cebidae.